CCUACGGGUGGCAGCAGUGAGGAAUAUUGGUCAAUGGACGAGAGUCUGAACCAGCCAAGUAGCGUGAAGGAUGACUGCCCUAUGGGUUGUAAACUUCUUUUAUAAAGGAAUAAAACGAGGCACGUGUGCCUUUUUGCAUGUACUUUAUGAAUAAGGAUCGGAUAACUCCGUGCCAGCCGCGGUAAUACGGAGGAUCCGAGCGUUAUCCGGAUUUAUUGGGUUUAAAGGGAGCGUAGAUGGGUUGGUAAGUCAGUUGUGAAAGUUUGCGGCUCAACCGUAAGAUUGCAAUUGAUACUGGCAGUCUUGAGUACAGUUGAGGUAGGCGGAAUUCGUGGUGUAGCGGUGAAAUGCGUAGAUAUCACGAAGAACCCCGAUUGCGAAGGCAGCUUACUAAACUGUGACUGACAUUGAUGCUCGAAAGUGUGGGUAUCAAACAGGAUUAGAUACCCUUGUAGUC
Molecule: ribosomal RNA, 457 nt
Filed under: uncultured bacterium
Lineage: Bacteria
Description: partial 16S ribosomal RNA
Rfam family: Bacterial small subunit ribosomal RNA
Source: RNAcentral